CCUACGGGGGGCAGCAGUGGGGAAUAUUGGACAAUGGGGGGAACCCUGAUCCAGCCAUGCCGCGUGUGUGAAGAAGGCCCUCGGGUUGUAAAGCACUUUCAGUGAGGAAGAACGCCUGGUGGUUAAUACCCAUCAGGAAAGACAUCACUCACAGAAGAAGCACCGGCUAACUCCGUGCCAGCAGCCGCGGUAAUACGGAGGGUGCGAGCGUUAAUCGGAAUUACUGGGCGUAAAGCGCGCGUAGGUGGCUUGAUAAGCCGGUUGUGAAAGCCCCGGGCUCAACCUGGGAACGGCAUCCGGAACUGUCAAGCUAGAGUGCAGGAGAGGAAGGUAGAAUUCCCGGUGUAGCGGUGAAAUGCGUAGAGAUCGGGAGGAAUACCAGUGGCGAAGGCGGCCUUCUGGACGGACACUGACACUGAGGUGCGAAAGCGUGGGUAGCAAACAGGAUUAGAUACCCCGGUAGUC
This 465-nucleotide ribosomal RNA is filed under the name Vreelandella stevensii. RNAcentral's name for it is "partial 16S ribosomal RNA". It matches the Rfam family "Bacterial small subunit ribosomal RNA", at positions 338 to 795 of the family's 1533-position model. Lineage: Bacteria; Pseudomonadati; Pseudomonadota; Gammaproteobacteria; Oceanospirillales; Halomonadaceae. The record is from RNAcentral.